This 623-nucleotide ribosomal RNA is filed under the name uncultured bacterium. Its description in RNAcentral is "bacterial SSU rRNA". The stretch from base 1 to 520 matches the Rfam family "Bacterial small subunit ribosomal RNA", at positions 338 to 873 of the family's 1533-position model. The record is from RNAcentral.
CCUACGGGAGGCAGCAGUGGGGAAUAUUGGACAAUGGGCGAAAGCCUGAUCCAGCAAUGCCGCGUGAGUGAUGAAGGCCUUAGGGUUGUAAAGCUCUUUUACCAGGGAUAAUAAUGACAGUACCUGGAGAAUAAGCUCCGGCUAACUCCGUGCCAGCAGCCGCGGUAAUACGGAGGGAGCUAGCGUUGUUCGGAAUUACUGGGCGUAAAGCGUACGUAGGCGGUUAUUCAAGUCAGAGGUGAAAGCCUGGAGCUCAACUCCAGAACUGCCUUUGAAACUAGAUAGCUAGAAUCACGGAGAGGUUAGUGGAAUUCCGAGUGUAGAGGUGAAAUUCGUAGAUAUUCGGAAGAACACCAGUGGCGAAGGCGACUAACUGGACGUGUAUUGACGCUGAGGUACGAAAGCGUGGGGAGCAAACAGGAUUAGAUACCCUGGUAGUCCACGCCGUAAACGAUGAUAACUAGCUGUUCGGUCUCUACGNGACUGAGUGGCGCAGCUACGACAUUAAGUUAGUUCCGUCCGUCGGGUAGGGUACGGUACGACGAAGAAGUUAAAACUUAACUAAAUAAGUAAGUUAGUACGGACGUGAGACGAGCCGAACGGACGACGACGAGGGAGGUAGG